GCGUAAAUUACCCAAUCCUAAUACGGGGAGGUAGUGACAAGAAAUAUUGAUAUUGGACCCAAAGGGUACAAUGAUUGAAAUGAGAACAAUAUAAAAAACUUAACGACUAACAAUUGGAGGGCAAGUCUGGUGCCAGCAGCCGCGGUAAUUCCAGCUCCAAGAGUGUAUAUUAAAGUUGUUGCGGUUAAAAAGCUCGUAGUUGAAUUUCUGAAAAUAAUCUUGUGAUUGAUUUAACCGUCAUGAACAAAAAUUGUUUACAUACUUGAUAGAUGGAAACAUUUAUCUUAAUGACUUUGAAAAAAUUAGAGUGUUCAAAGCAUGAUUCACAUUUGAAUAAUACAGCAUGGGAUAAUAUAAUAUGACAUUAGUUAAAAAUUUGUUGGUUUCUUUGGCUAAUGUAAUGAUUAAAAGGG
RNAcentral lists this ribosomal RNA (413 nucleotides) under uncultured eukaryote. Its description in RNAcentral is "bacterial SSU rRNA". It matches the Rfam family "Eukaryotic small subunit ribosomal RNA", at positions 434 to 877 of the family's 1831-position model. The record is from RNAcentral.